GAAACGUUCAUUUCAUUUCGGAUUGUCUUUGAGUAAAGAUGUAUAAUUUAUUUGCGCUUAAUAAGUUAUAUAAAUUUGAAGAGAGUAAAAGUGGUUAUGGUUGAGUUACAAUGGAAUUUUUGACAAGUUCAUUGUUCCGAACAUGAAUUAUAUGAAGACGUGAAGUUUUUGAACUAUCUGUAUUUUCCUGUCCACAAAAGGUCUUGCUAACCACGUGGAAUUCAGUGUGAUAUAAGCAGUGAUUAAAUGCCAAGGAAUUUACGAAUGGCUGUUUUGGUGUUUGGAGAGUAGCACUAUAUCCGGCAUUCCACGAGGUGUUUGUGGAAAUUAAAAACAAUGUAAUGUGGCAAAUAUUAAUAAAGAAUGAAUUGAUUUUAAACAAGUGUUUUUAUU
Long non-coding RNA from Bactrocera latifrons, 393 nucleotides. RefSeq lists it as uncharacterized. The record is from RefSeq and is a predicted model, not a curated record. The transcript has 5 exons. NCBI's taxonomy places the organism in Eukaryota, Metazoa, Arthropoda, Insecta, Diptera, Tephritidae.